RNAcentral lists this ribosomal RNA (492 nucleotides) under uncultured bacterium. RNAcentral's name for it is "partial 16S ribosomal RNA". It matches the Rfam family "Bacterial small subunit ribosomal RNA", at positions 29 to 507 of the family's 1533-position model. The record is from RNAcentral.
AGUGAACGCUGGCGGUAGGCCUAACACAUGCAAGUCGAACGGCAGCACAGUAAGAGCUUGCUCUUACGGGUGGCGAGUGGCGGACGGGUGAGGAAUACAUCGGAAUCUACUUUUUCGUAGGGGAUAACGUAGGGAAACUUACGCCAAUACCGCAUACGAACUACGGGUGAAAGCAGGGGAUCUUCGGACCUUGCGCGAUCGAAUGAGCCGAUGUCGGAUUAGCUAGUUGGCGGGGUAAAGGCCCACCAAGGCGACGAUCCGUAGCUGGUCUGAGAGGAUGAUCAGCCACACUGGAACUGAGACACGGUCCAGACUCCUACGGGAGGCAGCAGUGGGGAAUAUUGGACAAUGGGCGCAAGCCUGAUCCAGCCAUACCGCGUGGGUGAAGAAGGCCUUCGGGUUGUAAAGCCCUUUUGUUGGGAAAGAAAAGCAGCAGGUUAAUACCCCGCUGUUCUGACGGUACCCAAAGAAUAAGCACCGGCUAACUUCGUG